CUUGCUGGGACUUGGGUGUGGCCAUAUGACUGAGUGCAGUCUAGUGGAAUGGGAGAGAAAUGAUGUGUGCAACUUCAAGUCAUUCUCUUCAAGAUGAAGCUGCUCAGGAGAAGUCAUCCAGUCUCAUGGGUUUAAGUUCCCUCUAUAAGCUGAUGAAAAGGAAGAUACACAUCUAGUCUGCAUUUGAGUGGCUGCUGGGAAAGCCAAGUAUACUAAUGCAUUUCCUGAAGAGUAAAAUUGAGCAGUGGAGGAUG
This is a long non-coding RNA of Homo sapiens (human), 254 nucleotides long. RefSeq lists it as uncharacterized. NCBI's taxonomy places the organism in Eukaryota, Metazoa, Chordata, Mammalia, Primates, Hominidae. The record is from RefSeq and is a predicted model, not a curated record. The transcript is spliced from 3 exons.